Molecule: ribosomal RNA, 256 nt
Filed under: uncultured bacterium
Lineage: Bacteria
Description: partial 16S ribosomal RNA
Rfam family: Bacterial small subunit ribosomal RNA
Source: RNAcentral
UACAGAGGGGGCAAGCGUUUGUUCGGAAUUACUGGGCGUAAAGGGCGCGUAGGCGGCCCGCUAAGUCGAACGUGAAAUCCCCCGAGCUCAACUCGGGGAACUGCGUCCGAUACUGGCGGGCUUGAAUCCGGGAGAGGGAUGCGGAAUUCCAGGUGUAGCGGUGAAAUGCGUAGAUAUCUGGAGGAACACCGGUGGCGAAGGCGGAUCUCUGGGCCAUUACUGACGCUGAGGAGCGAAAGCGUGGGGAGCGAACAGG